This 434-nucleotide ribosomal RNA is filed under the name uncultured bacterium. Its description in RNAcentral is "bacterial SSU rRNA". It matches the Rfam family "Bacterial small subunit ribosomal RNA", at positions 222 to 659 of the family's 1533-position model. The record is from RNAcentral.
AGGAUGAGCCUGCGUCCCAUUAGCUAGUUGGUAGGGUAACGGCCUACCAAGGCAGUGAUGGGUAGCCGACCUGAGAGGGUGACCGGCCACACUGGGACCGAACACGGCCCAGACUUCUACGGGAGGCAGCAGUAGGGAUAUGCCCAAUGGGCGAAAGCCCAGGCAGCGACACCGCGUGGGGUGAUGAAAGUAUUAUGUAUUCGUAAAGCCCUGUCGUGAGGGAAAAAAGAGUAAUCUUGACGGGUACCUUCACUAAUAGCCCCGGCUAACUUCCGUGCCAGCAGCCGCGGUAAUACGGAAGGGGGCAAGCGUUUGUUUCGGAAUUUACUGGGGCGUAAAGCGCACGUAGGCGGUUCGGUAAGUUUGAGUGUUAAAUAUUCUGGCUCAACCAGAGACCUGCGCUCGAAACUGCCGUGCUAGAGAUCAGAGAGGAG